RNAcentral lists this ribosomal RNA (480 nucleotides) under uncultured soil bacterium. RNAcentral describes it as "bacterial SSU rRNA". It matches the Rfam family "Bacterial small subunit ribosomal RNA", at positions 26 to 518 of the family's 1533-position model. The record is from RNAcentral.
AGGAUCAACGCUGGCGGCGUGCCUAAUGCAUGCAAGUCGAACGGGGUCGCCUUCGGGCGGCUCACGUGGCGGACGGGUGAGGAACACGUGGCCAAUCUGCCCACCGGCAGGGGGUAGCCCGCGGAAACGCGGGGUAAUUCCGUAUGAUCUCGGGGUUCAAGUGGGGACCUUGAGCAAAGGUCCUUCGGGGCCGCCGGUGGAGGAGGCUGCGGCCGAUUAGUUAGUUGGUGGGGUAACGGCCUACCAAGGCGAUGAUCGGUAGCUGGUCUGAGAGGACGAUCAGCCACACGGGGACUGAGACACGGCCCCGACUCCUACGGGAGGCAGCAGCAAGGAAUUUCCGCAAUGGGCGAAAGCCUGACGGAGCAACGCCGCGUGCGGGAUGACGCUUUUCGGAGUGUAAACCGCUGGUUCGGGGGGACGAAGCACGUGACGGUACCCCGGAGGAAGGCCCGGCGUAACUACGUGACCAGCAGCCGC